AUACUUACCUGGCAGGGGAGAUACCAUGAUCACGAAGGUGGUUUUCCCAGGGCGAGGCUUAUCCAUUGCACUCCGGAUGUGCUGACCCCUGCGAUUUCCCCAAAUGUGGGAAACUCGACUGCAUAAUUUGUGGUAGUGGGGGACUGCGUUCGCACUCUCCCCUG
Molecule: small nuclear RNA, 164 nt
Organism: Erinaceus europaeus (western European hedgehog)
Lineage: Eukaryota; Metazoa; Chordata; Mammalia; Eulipotyphla; Erinaceidae
Gene: U1
Rfam family: U1 spliceosomal RNA
About the family: U1 is a small nuclear RNA (snRNA) component of the spliceosome (involved in pre-mRNA splicing). Its 5' end forms complementary base pairs with the 5' splice junction, thus defining the 5' donor site of an intron.
Source: Ensembl